GAUGAACGCUGGCGGCGUGCUUAACACAUGCAAGUCGAACGGAAAGGCCCAAGCUUGCUUGGGUACUCGAGUGGCGAACGGGUGAGUAACACGUGGGUGAUCUGCCCUGCACUUCGGGAUAAGCCUGGGAAACUGGGUCUAAUACCGGAUAGGACCACAUUUUGGAUGGUGUGGUGGAAAGUUUUUCGGUGUGGGAUGAGCUCGCGGCCUAUCAGCUUGUUGGUGGGGUAAUGGCCUACCAAGGCGUCGACGGGUAGCCGGACUGAGAGGGUGUACGGCCACAUUGGGACUGAGAUACGGCCCAGACUCCUACGGGGGGCAGCAGUGGGGAAUAUUGCACAAUGGGCGCAAGCCUGAUGCAGAGACGCCGCGUGGGGGAUGACGGCCUUCGGGUUGUAAACUCCUUUCGCUAGGGACGAAGCGUUUUUGUGACGGUACCUGGAGAAGAAGCACCGGCUAACUACGUG
RNAcentral lists this ribosomal RNA (467 nucleotides) under uncultured bacterium. Its description in RNAcentral is "partial 16S ribosomal RNA". It matches the Rfam family "Bacterial small subunit ribosomal RNA", at positions 28 to 507 of the family's 1533-position model. The record is from RNAcentral.